RNAcentral lists this ribosomal RNA (474 nucleotides) under uncultured bacterium. Its description in RNAcentral is "SSU rRNA". It matches the Rfam family "Bacterial small subunit ribosomal RNA", at positions 26 to 521 of the family's 1533-position model. The record is from RNAcentral.
AGGAUGAACGCUGGCGGCGUGCCUAACACAUGCAAGUCGAACGUCCUGUCUCGCAAGAGGCAGGGAGUGGCGGACGGGUGAGUACCACGUGGGUCAUCUACCGUGAGGUGAGGAAUACCGGCGAGAAAUCGCCGACAAGACCGCAUAGGCUCGAUGCAAGUCGAGCAAAGCUCUUUCGAGAGAGGGAGCGCCACACGAGGAGCCUGCGCCCGAUUAGCUAGCUGGUGGAGUAACGGUUCACCAGGGCGACGAUCGGUAGCUGGUCUGAGAGGACGAUCAGCCACACUGGGAUUGAGAACGGCCCAGACUCCUACGGGGGCAGCAGUGAGGAAUUUUCGUCAAUGGGGGCAACCCUGAACGAGCAACGCCGCGUGCAGGAAGAAGGUUUCGGAUCGUAAACUGCUUUUCUCGGGAAGAGAACGGACGGUACCCGAGGAAUCGAGCCCCGGCUAACUACGUGCCAGCAGCCGCGGU